This 372-nucleotide ribosomal RNA is filed under the name uncultured organism. RNAcentral describes it as "bacterial SSU rRNA". It matches the Rfam family "Bacterial small subunit ribosomal RNA", at positions 526 to 896 of the family's 1533-position model. The record is from RNAcentral.
CGUAGGGCGCAAGCGUUGUCCGGAAUUAUUGGGCGUAAAGAGCUCGUAGGUGGCUUGUCGCGUCUGCCGUGAAAGCCCGUGGCUUAACUACGGGUCUGCGGUGGAUACGGGCAGGCUAGAGGCUGGUAGGGGCAAGCGGAAUUCCUGGUGUAGCGGUGAAAUGCGCAGAUAUCAGGAGGAACACCGGUGGCGAAGGCGGCUUGCUGGGCCAGUUCUGACGCUGAGGAGCGAAAGCGUGGGGAGCGAACAGGAUUAGAUACCCUGGUAGUCCACGCUGUAAACGUUGGGCGCUAGGUGUGGGGGUCUUCCACGAUUCCUGUGCCGUAGCUAACGCAUUAAGCGCCCCGCCUGGGGAGUACGGCCGCAAGGCUA